RNAcentral lists this ribosomal RNA (380 nucleotides) under uncultured bacterium. RNAcentral describes it as "bacterial SSU rRNA". It matches the Rfam family "Bacterial small subunit ribosomal RNA", at positions 29 to 412 of the family's 1533-position model. The record is from RNAcentral.
AUUGAACGCUGGCGGCAUGCCUUACACAUGCAAGUCGAACGGCAGCACGGGAGCAAUCCUGGUGGCGAGUGGCGAACGGGUGAGUAAUAUAUCGGAACGUGCCCGGUCGUGGGGAUAACGUAGCGAAAGCUACGCUAAUACCGCAUACGAUCUACGGAUGAAAGCGGGGGAUCGCAAGACCUCGCGCGAUUGGAGCGGCCGAUAUCAGAUUAGGUAGUUGGUGAGGUAAAGGCUCACCAAGCCGACGAUCUGUAGCUGGUCUGAGAGGACGACCAGCCACACUGGGACUGAGACACGGCCCAGACUCCUACGGGAGGCAGCAGUGGGGAAUUUGGACAAUGGGCGCAAGCCUGAUCCAGCAAUGCCGCGUGCAGGAUGAA